This 253-nucleotide ribosomal RNA is filed under the name uncultured bacterium. RNAcentral describes it as "partial 16S ribosomal RNA". It matches the Rfam family "Bacterial small subunit ribosomal RNA", at positions 524 to 776 of the family's 1533-position model. The record is from RNAcentral.
UACGUAGGGUGCGAGCGUUAAUCGGAAUUACUGGGCGUAAAGCGUGCGCAGGCGGUUUUGUAAGCCAGAUGUGAAAGCCCCGGGCUUAACCUGGGAAUGGCAUUUGGGACUGCAAGGCUUGAGUGCGGCAGAGGAGACUGGAAUUCCUGGUGUAGCAGUGAAAUGCAUAGAUAUCAGGAGGAAUACCGAUGGCGAAGGCAGGUCUCUGGGCUGACACUGACGCUCAUGCACGAAAGCGUGGGGAGCAAACAGG